This 314-nucleotide long non-coding RNA is filed under the name Mytilus galloprovincialis (Mediterranean mussel). Lineage: Eukaryota; Metazoa; Mollusca; Bivalvia; Mytilida; Mytilidae. The record is from RNAcentral.
AUUGAAUGGGUUGACAUGUCAUAAAUGUUUCUAUAUUGUUGUAUGGUCGAAUAAAGCUUGUGUAAUAUAUUUUUUUUAAAUAAAUAUGAAUUCAUACUGACUACAUAAAAGUCAUGGCCCGUACAAGUGUUUCUUAUCAAAAACCACAAUUAUCGUCCUUGAGGUCAAAGUUCAAGGUCACAUGAAGGUCAAAAUUUUAAGAAGGCACACCACCUCAUGAUGAUACAUGUUCAUCCACAUGCCAAAGAUGUAAGGCCUAGGUCAAACGGCAAAGAAGUUAUGGCCUACAUGGUUGUGUUUUUCACGGAAAAAAA